UUAGAGUUUGAUCCUGGCUCAGGACGAACGCUGGCGGCGUGCCUAACACAUGCAAGUCGAGCGAAUGAAAUUCCUUCGGGAGCGGAUUUAGCGGCGGACGGGUGAGUAACACGUGGGCAACCUGCCUCAUAGAGGGGAAUAGCCUUCCGAAAGGGAGAUUAAUACCGCAUAAGAUUGUAGUACCGCAUGGUACAGCAAUUAAAGGAGCAAUCCGCUAUGAGAUGGGCCCGCGGCGCAUUAGCUAGUUGGUGAGGUAACGGCUCACCAAGGCGACGAUGCGUAGCCGACCUGAGAGGGUGAUCGGCCACAUUGGGACUGAGACACGGCCCACACUCCUACGGGAGGCAGCAGUGGGGAAUAUUGCACAAUGGGGGAAACCCUGAUGCAGCAACGCCGCGUGAGUGAUGACGGCCUUCGGGUUGUAAAGCUCUGUCUUCAGGGACGAUAAUGACGGUACCUGAGGAGGAAGCCACGGCUAACUACGUGCCAGCAGCCGCGGUAAUACGUAGGGUGCGAGCGUUGUCCGGAAUUAUUGGGCGUAAAGAGCUCGUAGGCGGUUUGUUGCGCCUGCUGUGAAAACCUGGGGCUUAACUUCGGGAUUGCAGUGCGUACGGCCAGACUAGAGUGGGGUAGGGGUAAUUGGAAUUCCUGGUGUAGCGGUGGAAUGCCCAUAUAUCAGGAGGAACCCCGAUGGCGGAGGCUGGUUACUGGGCCCCCCCUGACCCCUAAGGAACCAAAGGCGGGGGGAACGAAACAGGAAUAAAAUCCCCGUGGUACCCCCCC
Molecule: ribosomal RNA, 783 nt
Filed under: uncultured bacterium
Lineage: Bacteria
Description: bacterial SSU rRNA
Rfam family: Bacterial small subunit ribosomal RNA
Source: RNAcentral